Long non-coding RNA from Coregonus clupeaformis (lake whitefish), 324 nucleotides. RefSeq lists it as uncharacterized. The transcript has 3 exons. The record is from RefSeq and is a predicted model, not a curated record. NCBI's taxonomy places the organism in Eukaryota, Metazoa, Chordata, Actinopteri, Salmoniformes, Salmonidae.
UUCAGAGAGAGCAGUCAUCAAUAUUUUUGUUACAUGAUGAGAUGGUGAAAUUCGUACGCAAGCUAUGUUCCAAGUUUAUGGUUCCAGCAGCUCUGCAGUGCCAUGAGGAGCCUUGUGAAAUUGCCUUUAAAGAAAAGGCAAACCAUUUACCAGGAAGAAAGUUGAACAUUGGGUUCACAACCAGGGCUAAAUUUAACAGAUUACUCGACGAGGCUAACAUCACACCACAGCAGGUGGAUUCAUUCCAUGAAGCUGUGUUGUGUUUCCUGACAAGUGCUGUGGACUAUGCACUUAAGAAGCUGCCACUGGAAGAGCCACUGAUCA